UACGAAGGGGGCUAGCGUUGUUCGGAAUCGCUGGGCGUAAAGGGCGCGUAGGCGGCUUUAUAAGUCGGGGGUGAAAGCCUGUGGCUCAACCACAGAAUUGCCUUCGAUACUGUAGAGCUUGAGACCGGAAGAGGUAAGUGGAACUGCGAGUGUAGAGGUGAAAUUCGUAGAUAUUCGCAAGAACACCAGUGGCGAAGGCGGCUUACUGGUCCGGUUCUGACGCUGAGGCGCGAAAGCGUGGGGAGCAAACAGG
This 253-nucleotide ribosomal RNA is filed under the name uncultured bacterium. RNAcentral's name for it is "partial 16S ribosomal RNA". It matches the Rfam family "Bacterial small subunit ribosomal RNA", at positions 524 to 776 of the family's 1533-position model. The record is from RNAcentral.